GGAGGUUGGCUUAGAAGCAGCCAUCCUUGAAAGAGUGCGUAAUAGCUCACUGGUCAAGUGAUCGUGCGCCGACAAUGUAGCGGGGCUCAAGCACACCGCCGAAGCCGCGGACCCAUGACGUUGUUCCCUUCACCGUCCGGCUUGUCCGGGUGGUGGCAGGGGUUGUGGGUGGUAGGGGAGCGUCCUGCACCGGGGGAAGCCUGUGGGUGACUGCUGGUGGACGGUGCGGGAGUGAGAAUGCAGGCAUGAGUAGCGAUACUAGGGUGAGAAGCCCUAGCGCCGAAUGACCAAGGGUUCCAGGGCCAGGCUAGUCCGCCCUGGGUGAGUCGGGACCUAAGGCGAGGCCGACAGGCGUAGUCGAUGGAUGACGGGUUGAUAUUCCCGUACCGGCGAAGCACCGCCCAUGCUGACGCGCGGGUGCUAACCCACGCCCAGCCACCAAGUUCAGCCGCGCCUACUCCUUUCGGGGGGUGGUGUGGUUGUGGUGGUGGGGUCUGGGGACCCUCCGUGCAGGUAGGCAAGCGUGUUAACAGGGGUGACGCACAGUGGUAGCCCGGCGGACCUGAUGGCUUGGUCCGUUCAAGCGCGCAGCCCGUCCUCCAGGCAAAUCCGGAGUGACUGCCUCCUUGAGGGGUGAGGGUGAGGCGUGAUGGUGACCCCACGCUGGUGGGGGAUAACAGGGUGAUCCUGGGGUGCCGAGAAAAGCCUCGACGCGAUGGUGCCAGCCGCCCGUACCCUAAACCGACACAGGUGGUCGGGCAGAGUAUGCCUAGGCGCACGAGUGAAUCAUGGUUAAGGAACUCGGCAAAAUGCCCCCGUAACUUCGGGAGAAGGGGGGCCCGAACCCUGAAGCCCCUUUUGCGGGCUAGGGGGGUGGGUCGCAGAGGCCAGGGGGAAGCGACUGUUUACUAAAAACACAGGUCCGUGCGAAGCCGUAAGGCGAUGUAUACGGACUGACGCCUGCCCGGUGCUGGAAGGUUAAGAGGAACCAUCAACCCUCUCGGGGGUGAAGUGGUGAAUUUAAGCCCCAGUAAACGGCGGUGGUAACUAUAACCAUCCUAAGGUAGCGAAAUUCCUUGUCGGGUAAGUUCCGACCUGCACGAAUGGCGUAACGACUUCCCCGCUGUCUCAACCAUGAGCUCGGCGAAAUUGCAGUACGAGUAAAGAUGCUCGUUUCGCGCAGAAGGACGGAAAGACCCCGGGACCUUUACUACAGCUUGGUAUUGGCGCCCGCUAUAGCUUGUGCAGGAUAGGUGGGAGACUGUGAAGCCGUUACGCCAGUGGCGGUGGAGUCGUCCUUGAAAUACCACUCUGGUUAUGGCGUGCGCCUGAACCUGGGCCCGUGAUCCGGGUUAGGGACAGUGCCUGGUGGGUAGUUUAACUGGGGCGGUUGCCUCCUAAAGUGUAACGGAGGCGCUCAAAGGUUCCCUCAGCCUGGUCGGCAACCAGGUGUUGAGUGCAAGUGCACAAGGGAGCUUGACUGUGAGACCGACGGGUCGAGCAGGUACGAAAGUAGGAACUAGUGAUCCGGCGAUCCCGUGUGGGUGGGUCGUCGCUCAACGGAUAAAAGGUACCCCGGGGAUAACAGGCUGAUCCUGCCCAAGAGUCCAUAUCGACGGCAUGGUUUGGCACCUCGAUGUCGGCUCGUCGCAUCCUGGGGCUGGAGCAGGUCCCAAGGGUUGGGCUGUUCGCCCAUUAAAGCGGUACGCGAGCUGGGUUUAGAACGUCGUGAGACAGUUCGGUCCCUAUCCUCUGCGCGCGCAGGAGACUUGAGAAGGCCUGUCCCUAGUACGAGAGGACCGGGACGGACGAACCUCUGGUGUGCCAGUUGUCCCGCCCGGGGCACGGCUGGUUGGCUACGUUCGGGAAGGGUAACCGCUGAAAGCAUCUAAGCGGGAAACCAUCUUCAAGAUAAGGUCUCCACAAGAAGGACUUGUCCUUCUUGGUAGGCCCCCAGCAGACUACUGGGUUGAUAGGCCAGAAGUGGAAGACCGGCAA
This 1998-nucleotide ribosomal RNA is filed under the name human metagenome. RNAcentral describes it as "bacterial LSU rRNA". It matches the Rfam family "Bacterial large subunit ribosomal RNA", at positions 1096 to 2881 of the family's 2925-position model. The record is from RNAcentral.